Molecule: long non-coding RNA, 550 nt
Organism: Homo sapiens (human)
Lineage: Eukaryota; Metazoa; Chordata; Mammalia; Primates; Hominidae
Gene: ZCCHC14-DT
Product: ZCCHC14 divergent transcript
Source: Ensembl
CAGGAGGAUCGCUUGAGGCCAAGAGUUUAAGACCAACCUGGGCAACAUGAUGAAGAAACUGAGGUUUAGAGCAGCCGCUUGCCCAGCGUAGACAGCGAGAAGGACAGGUCCAGUUCUGCUUGAUGAUGAAGCCUGUGUCUUCUCUGCUGUGUGAUCCUAAUCACGUUGGGAGGUUCCUGAGGAAGCAGAGGAUUUUGCCCUUGCAUUUGAGCCACAGCAGCUCUACUGCAAAGGAGAUGAGGAAGGACAGUGGGCAGGAUCUGACCAGAGUCUUUGCGAUUGAGCUUGCUCUCUUAUGCCUCUGCCAUCACCCACAGAGAAACAUGCCAAGUUAGCCGUCUGGUCCCACGAGAAACAUGGGAAACGGGGAUCAGAGCCAUCCUAGCCGAACUCAGCCCAGAUCAGCAGGCCUUAGUGGACCCCAAGAUAGCAGAGGGUCUGUAACUUUCACCAGAUUCUUAAGGAGUCUGUGACCUGGGAGAGUUUUAAGAGUGGGAAAGCUGUAAGGCCACGCUCAGGCUGGAUUCCAGCCGUGGGACCCCUCGCUUCA